AUUGAACGCUGGCGGCAUGCCUUACACAUGCAGGUCGAACGGCAGCGCGGGGCAACCUGGCGGCGAGUGGCGAACGGGUGAGUAAUAUAUCGGAACGUACCCUGGAGUGGGGGAUAACGUAGCGAAAGUUACGCUAAUACCGCAUACGAUCUAAGGAUGAAAGUGGGGGAUUCGCAAGAACCUCAUGCUCCUGGAGCGGCCGAUAUCUGAUUAGCUAGUUGGUAGGGUAAAAGCCUACCAAGGCAUCGAUCAGUAGCUGGUCUGAGAGGACGACCAGCCACACUGGAACUGAGACACGGUCCAGACUCCUACGGGAGGCAGCAGUGGGGAAUUUUGGACAAUGGGCGCAAGCCUGAUCCAGCAAUGCCGCGUGAGUGAAGAAGGCCUUCGGGUUGUAAAGCUCUUUUGUCAGGGAAGAAACGGGUUUUUCUAAUACAGAGAUCUAAUGACGGUACCUGAAGAAUAAGCACCGGCUAACUACGUGCCAGCAGCCGCGGUAAUACGUAGGGUGCAAGCGUUAAUCGGAAUUACUGGGCGUAAAGCGUGCGCAGGCGGUUUUGUAAGACUGUCGUGAAAUCCCCGGGCUCAACCUGGGAAUGGCGAUGGUGACUGCAAGGCUAGAGUUUGGCAGAGGGGGGUAGAAUUCCACGUGUAGCAGUGAAAUGCGUAGAUAUGUGGAGGAACACCGAUGGCGAAGGCAGCCCCCUGGGUCAAAACUGACGCUCAUGCACGAAAGCGUGGGGAGCAAACAGGAUUAGAUACCCUGGUAGUCCACGCCCUAAACGAUGUCUACUAGUUGUCGGGUUUUAAUUAACUUGGUAACGCAGCUAACGCGUGAAGUAGACCGCCUGGGGAGUACGGUCGCAAGAUUAAAACUCAAAGGAAUUGACGGGGACCCGCACAAGCGGUGGAUGAUGUGGAUUAAUUCGAUGCAACGCGAAAAACCUUACCUACCCUUGACAUGGCAGAAAUCCUCGAGAGAUUGAGGAGUGCUCGAAAGAGAAUCUGCACACAGGUGCUGCAUGGCUGUCGUCAGCUCGUGUCGUGAGAUGUUGGGUUAAGUCCCGCAACGAGCGCAACCCUUGUCAUUAGUUGCUACGAAAGAGCACUCUAAUGAGACUGCCGGUGACAAACCGGAGGAAGGUGGGGAUGACGUCAAGUCCUCAUGGCCCUUAUGGGUAGGGCUUCACACGUCAUACAAUGGUACAUACAGAGGGCCGCCAACCCGCGAGGGGGAGCUAAUCCCAGAAAGUGUAUCGUAGUCCGGAUUGUAGUCUGCAACUCGACUG
RNAcentral lists this ribosomal RNA (1289 nucleotides) under uncultured bacterium. RNAcentral describes it as "bacterial SSU rRNA". It matches the Rfam family "Bacterial small subunit ribosomal RNA", at positions 28 to 1318 of the family's 1533-position model. The record is from RNAcentral.